CCCGGCAUCGCCCCUCGGCUCCCACGCUGCCCUUCUGCUGCGUGGGCAGCUUGGCUGAAACCCCUCACUUCUUGGCCCAAAGCGUUGCUUGUCAGCUCAGGUGGGAUCUUCACAGCCCACACGCCCGCGGCUCUGAGGGCGACAAGGAAAUGAGGACCGCGAUAAGCCCCCAAGCCCUGCAAGUGCCAUGCACGGUGGCACUUGCCUAACGAUGCCUGAUGGAAGAUACUGCCGCAAACCAUGUAAACCGAGGGGCCAAAUCCACAGAUGAAAAUUCACACCUGCUGCCUGGCUUGCACGAAUGACUCUCCAAAUCGCAGAGCCUUGGUGUUGCGCUUUCCAGGCUGCCGGAGAGCGGCUGGGAAGCACUGCUGGCGGGACGGGAGGCUCCUAGGAGUCUGCUCACUUGACCUCAGUCCCAGGAUUCCUGUAGUUUCUUGUAAACGUGCCACAGCAUGCUGAAAAUUAUAGACCUGAGUGAGUUAACAUUGCGCACAUGAUAAAUGCUUGAAAUGCUGAGCAGCUAAUUCAAACAAGCGUAAAGUUGUGGAUGCAAUGAUUAACAAGGAAAGUAUCUUAGGCCGACAUAGCAGAGUUGCAUGGAUGCAUUUCAAUUUGAUAUAGAAACACCCCACCCCAUUUUUAAUAGUUGAUGACAGCUUAUCAGACACAACAUCAGAGACUUCAGAGUGCUCCUGGGACACCGCAGCUCAGGGGGCUUGAAGAAAUGAGGCAAAGGAGAUGAAAGCUGAUUUUGGAGAAGAAAAAAAUUACGUAUUUAGGUACACACACAUAGGCAAAGGUUGGCAUACAUGUCAAGAGAACAUUCUCCAGCUGGGGCCUGCAGUAUAGAGAAUUGUAUACUCCAGAGGGCUCAUGGGACCUUAGGCAGAUUAUUAUGGUAAUAUUGGAGACUGCUGUCCUUUCCCUCCCACAGCUGGGCCGCCUCUCUCAUUCAUUAGAGAAGCCACCCUUUGUAAAGAGGAAAGAGCCCCCAAAUAACAAUGAGUUGGUUCCAUGUGUCACCAUGAAGCCACACAUUUGCUACUCCUGAGCUGAUGUGAAGAUGUGUAUUUCACAUUUGAUGCAAGAUUGCACUCAGCAGAAUGAGGUGAAAAG
Long non-coding RNA from Harpia harpyja (harpy eagle), 1119 nucleotides. RefSeq lists it as uncharacterized. The record is from RefSeq and is a predicted model, not a curated record. The transcript is spliced from 5 exons. Lineage: Eukaryota; Metazoa; Chordata; Aves; Accipitriformes; Accipitridae.